GGUGUGUUGGCCGAGUGGUUAGGCAACGGUCUGCAAAACCGUGUACGGCGGUUCAAAUCCGCCACGCACCU
RNAcentral lists this transfer RNA (71 nucleotides) under Bacteroidales bacterium KA00251. It matches the Rfam family "tRNA". From Rfam's summary of the family: Transfer RNA (tRNA) molecules are approximately 80 nucleotides in length. Their secondary structure includes four short double-helical elements and three loops (D, anti-codon, and T loops). Further hydrogen bonds mediate the characteristic L-shaped molecular structure. tRNAs have two regions of fundamental functional importance: the anti-codon, which is responsible for specific mRNA codon recognition, and the 3' end, to which the tRNAs corresponding amino acid is attached (by aminoacyl-tRNA synthetases). tRNAs cope with the degeneracy of the genetic code in two manners: having more than one tRNA (with a specific anti-codon) for a particular amino acid; and 'wobble' base-pairing, i.e. permitting non-standard base-pairing at the 3rd anti-codon position. The record is from Rfam by way of RNAcentral. Lineage: Bacteria; Pseudomonadati; Bacteroidota; Bacteroidia; Bacteroidales.